ACUGACCUAGCGGCGGACGGGUGAGUAAUGCUUAGGAAUCUGCCAUUUAGUGGGGGACAACAUUCCGAAAGGAAUGCUAAUACCGCAUACGUCCUACGGGAGAAAGCAGGGGAUCUUCGGACCUUGCGCUAAAUGAUGAGCCUAAGUCGGAUUAGCUAGUUGGUGGGGUAAAGGCCUACCAAGGCGACGAUCUGUAGCGGGUCUGAGAGGAUGAUCCGCCACACUGGGACUGAGACACGGCCCAGACUCCUACGGGAGGCAGCAGUGGGGAAUAUUGGACAAUGGGCGCAAGCCUGAUCCAGCCAUGCCGCGUGUGUGAAGAAGGCCUUUUGGUUGUAAAGCACUUUAAGCGAGGAGGAGGCUCUCUUAGUUAAUACCUAAGAUGAGUGGACGUUACUCGCAGAAUAAGCACCGGCUAACUCUGUGCCAGCAGCCGCGGUAAUACAGAGGGUGCGAGCGUUAAUCGGAUUUACUGGGCGUAAAGCGUGCGUAGGCGGCUUUUUAAGUCGGAUGUGAAAUCCCCGAGCUUAACUUGGGAAUUGCAUUCGAUACUGGGAAGCUAGAGUAUGGGAGAGGAUGGUAGAAUUCCAGGUGUAGCGGUGAAAUGCGUAGAGAUCUGGAGGAAUACCGAUGGCGAAGGCAGCCAUCUGGCCUAAUACUGACGCUGAGGUACGAAAGCAUGGGGAGCAAACAGGAUUAGAUACCUGGUAGUCCAUGCCGUAAACGAUGUCUACUAGCCGUUGGGG
This 746-nucleotide ribosomal RNA is filed under the name Acinetobacter sp. JA64-2. RNAcentral's name for it is "bacterial SSU rRNA". It matches the Rfam family "Bacterial small subunit ribosomal RNA", at positions 86 to 828 of the family's 1533-position model. Lineage: Bacteria; Pseudomonadati; Pseudomonadota; Gammaproteobacteria; Moraxellales; Moraxellaceae. The record is from RNAcentral.